This 497-nucleotide ribosomal RNA is filed under the name uncultured bacterium. RNAcentral's name for it is "partial 16S ribosomal RNA". It matches the Rfam family "Bacterial small subunit ribosomal RNA", at positions 28 to 507 of the family's 1533-position model. The record is from RNAcentral.
GAUGAACGCUGGCGGCGUGCCUAAGACAUGCAAGUCGAGCGAACGGACGAGAAGCUUGCUUCUCUGAUGUUAGCGGCGGACGGGUGAGUAACACGUGGAUAACCUACCUAUAAGACUGGGAUAACUUCGGGAAACCGUAGCUAAUACCGGAUAAUAUUUUGAACCGCAUGGUUCAAAAGUGAAAGACGGUCUUGCUGUCACUUAUAGAUGGAUCCGCGCUGCAUUAGCUAGUUGGUAAGGUAACGGCUUACCAAGGCAACGAUGCAUAGCCGACCUGAGAGGGUGAUCGGCCACACUGGAACUGAGACACGGUCCAGACUCCUACGGGAGGCAGCAGUAGGGAAUCUUCCGCCAUGGGCGAAAGCCUGACGGAGCAACGCCGCGUGAGUGCUGAAGGUCUUCGGAUCGUAAAACUCUUUUAUUAGGGAAGAACAUAUGUGUAAGUAACUGUGCACAUCUUGACGGUACCUAAUCAGAAAGCCACGGCUAACUACGUG